Molecule: long non-coding RNA, 905 nt
Organism: Homo sapiens (human)
Lineage: Eukaryota; Metazoa; Chordata; Mammalia; Primates; Hominidae
Exons: 3
Source: RefSeq, marked predicted
GCUGGAGGGGCCUCCCUCGCCCGCCUGUCUUCGCCGGCGCUGGUCUCCCGCACCCGGGUCUGCAGUCCCUCCGCCAUCUCGCAGGUGUGCAGCCGCUAGGCCUGGGGGAUCCGAAUGACUGGGGCUGGAUAGGAAUGCCUUCGUGUUUCCCAAGACCCCCGGGCCUGCUCCACAAAGUUUGAAGGAAGGAGGAGUUGAGGCGCCUUGAAUUUUCCUUCGCGAGUUUGGAGACUAGCCGAUUUUUCAUGAAGCAAGCAAAGACCGCGGUCCCGGAUCCGGCAACAUCUACCUCAUUCUCUCCAGGCCUCUCCACUUGCCCGAGCUCUCAGCCACCAGGAGACAGAAGGAAGGGACUUCUGGGCUGCGUUGGGAGCGGGCACUGUCCCCUAUCUACUCCUGCUCGGUUUCCCAAAGUCCAGCGACAUCCGACCCUCCUGGGGGGAAAAAUACCAGUACCCAGACACCUCUGCACCCUGUUAUAUGACUGGGCUUGCUUCAGGAAUAUCUUACAAAGAAGAAGAAGAAGAAGAAGAAAGAACAGCUUGGAGUCAUGUUUACAUCUAGUUCUACUGACCGGUUCCCAUCUGGAGAGUUUAUUUAUAACUCCCUCUAUAACUCUCUGUUUGGAGGCACUGGUGGCUCUAUUGACAGACUGAUGUCUAGGAAAUAUUGCUCUAUGUCUAACCGUACCUAAAUGUGCUGUGGUUGUAUUUACAGAUUUAUGUUUGAGGGAAAUAUAAUUAUUUCCAUUGUAUUUGUGCAUAUACAGUAGUUAUAGGAGCAGAUUUAUAUAUGGGAAAAUAUACGACUCUCUUACAGCCAUCCGGCUUUAUGUACAUGUGAUAUCCUGACAGAUUUAUAUCUCUGAACAGCUAUAUAGAUAAAAACGUAUAUUGUUAGAAUUA